GUAGGUCAUAAAUUGUUUUCUUGAUUUUAGAACUUUAUUUUUGUGCCCAGUUAGUGAAAUUUAUUUCAAUUUGCCUUGCUAACUUCAGUAGCAAGUAUCAGAAGCUACCAGCUCGAGUGUGCAGUUUUAGCCGCCAACACUACCGACAAUUUUGUUGACAUACCCCUUUCAUUCUCUGGGGUACACGGAAAAGGUGCGAAUUAAAACCAAGGGUCGACCUCUGCCUGCGAUCAGUUUCAUGAAGAACGAUGAAAAGGCUCCUGUCGUGUCCUGAAUGAUGCUCUACUACUCCAGGCUGCUGUCAUGUCCUAAAUGAUGCUCUACCACACCAGGCUGCUGUCGUGUCCUGAAUGAUGCUCUACUAUUCCAGGCUCCUGUCGUGUCCUAAAUGAUGCUCUACUACUCCAGGCUGCUGUCAUGUCCUAAAUGAUGCUCUACUACUCCAGGCUCCUGUCGUGUCCUAAAUGAUGCUCUACUACUCCAGGCUGCUGUCGUG
RNAcentral lists this long non-coding RNA (496 nucleotides) under Salmo salar (Atlantic salmon). Its description in RNAcentral is "lncRNA (ENSSSAG00000085138.1)". Lineage: Eukaryota; Metazoa; Chordata; Actinopteri; Salmoniformes; Salmonidae. The record is from RNAcentral.